Molecule: long non-coding RNA, 1789 nt
Filed under: Nicotiana tabacum (common tobacco)
Lineage: Eukaryota; Viridiplantae; Streptophyta; Magnoliopsida; Solanales; Solanaceae
Description: long non-coding RNA (NTAB_LNC011566)
Source: RNAcentral
AUCAACGCCUCUGUCCCUUCCCUUGUCAACUUCUUUAUUUUGAGAAAACCUCGUAGCUUUUGCGCCUUUCAAUCAAAAGAUGUUGCACCAUUUUUAUGUAAGUAAUGUCUUUCUUUCCUCUUUCUUGAUGACUCGUGAAUCUUCAAUAUCUCAGUCAAAAUCUCACCGGGUAUAACUUGAAGCAUAUCACUGAAUAAUCAUAUGAAGAUUGAAUCUAUCCAAAAAGCUUCAACGAUAAAAUUCAAACGACUCUAUUUGAAUUCUUUUGAAAUCCGAAUUUCAAAUGCCUACCCAAAGGAACCAAAAACCCUAAUUUUACACCUAUAAAUACCAGACUUUAUGGCUAUUUUCACCACCCGGAGGAACCGCCUCUUCCACCCUAAACUCACUGCUCUUAUUUCCUCUAAAUAUAUCUAUGUUUCUGUUCGGCAUAGCUAUAGCCGAAGCUUUAACAUAUUUUCCAAAUUAUAUCUGAGUUUACGAUUUUGUGGGAAUAGCCUUUGACAAGCGCUCUAGUUCACUGCGCCGCAAAAAGGUCAGUGAUUUUUUCUUCAUAUUCCUUUUGAAAUUUUUAAAGUUUGGAUGUUAAUGUAUGAUACUGCCUUUGUUAGAAUUGUGGCUUUGAGUUUGCUUUCCUGUAAAUUGAUGUGUUAAAUAUUAUAACCUAAAUUUUAUGUUGUAAAGGAGGAAAUAAACCAUGCCUAUAAGUAGAAGUCAGCUAUGUGCUUAAUUUAAAAGAUUGUGUUUUUUAGAAACCAUGAUUCUAGUUAUAUCUGAAGUUAUAUUAAUAGCAAGUUAUUGUCUCUUUGCUUAGUAAUAGUCACUGUUAACUACUGCACAGAUGUAUUUAUUUGCCCAUAGUCAAAGAUCAGGUAGAAACCAUGAAUUAGGACUUAUUUCCAUUAAGUAUAUUCUGGUCGUAACAAAGCCUGAGAAUUUGUUCCAUUUGAGUUGUAUCUUUCAAUAGAGUAAACUACUUUUCAAUCUGAAGAACUCUUCAUUCUAAUUAAAAUGACUACCAACGUAAUAUAGAUGUUGAGGCUCAUGUACUCUCGUGUAAAAGAAUGAACAUCUAGCAUACUUCUCGCUAAUCUUUGGUAUCAUUUAGUUUGCUUAUAUCAUUCAGUGAUUUGCUCUUAUUAGGAAUCAUGUGUUAAGAAUAUUUAGUUGUUGUCUACACUUUAGGAAUCAUGGGAUUAUAUUUCUGUUGUGAUCUUUAGAGUUCACUUUUAGCAUAGUUAAACUCUUAAGGUGAAUGUGAUCAAGCGGGUUUGUAAUGAUACGUAUAGUUUGUUUAAUGUGCAUAGCUUAAAGAAUAUUUAUAUAUUUAUUUAUCUUUAUUUGAAACUACUACUCCGUUUACACGCGUAAUUGCUGAAAAAGAAUCAUACUUUGCUAAAUGUUUGAUUUGUUCUCUGGAACAUAACUUAUCUCUAUUUGAAGCUAAAUAACUAUAACUAAGGUGUUUAACAUACAAUUGGUACUUUUUGGCUUUAAAAUUAAAGAUAGCAUGAUUCUUUAGGAACCUCAUGAAGAAGGUUCAGUAAUGUGAGUUUAUUUGCUGAUAUAAUCACGUUUGAUUGUUUCAGUAAUCUUUAGUUCUUUACUUUUCUGUUGAACAUAAGAUUUCCCCUCUAAUCUUUUUCUCUAUUUCUUUGUCUUGCAUAUGCACUUGGAGCAAAAAUGAAGUCUCACUCGAUAGCGAGACUCUCCAUACCCGAACAUGGAGUCACACUACAUAGCAUCUUGACCGGGAUAGCGACAAGACAAGCAAAUAUGCUUGGGGUGC